GUAAGAGGGAUGCUGGGAAAUGCCGUGCAGAGGCGGCUCAACUGGUGACUGUGACAGUGACAAAUUAUUAUUUUUUUUUUAUUAAAUUUUUGUAGAUAUGGUUUCAGUUGGUUUUGCAUUUUAUUGUAAUUUAGUAUACAUUUCAGUGUGAACAUAUUAAUUAAUCAUUAUUUAUGCGUGAAAAUGUGUACAAACGAGUUCUAUUUCGGGAGGCUGAAGUAAGCACAUGUGACCAUUUAUGCAGCCUGCCUCGCUAGAGAGUUUGCACACAGACUGAUAGGGGAGAGGGAACUGCAGAGAGUGCUUUUGCACAAUUGUACUCUGGCAAUUACUCACUGAAUCCCAGCUCCACAGAGACACUCACUAAACACUAUAACAAAUGGAGCAUCUAAGCCAAGAUCUGCCAGCAGAUGGAAAGAGGAAGAGAGCACUUGCUUUGUUUUUUAUUUAUGUCACUCCAGCAGUAGCAGACCAACCGUCUCUCAGAGCAGCAGGUGCUUGUGGGUGAUAAGAACUACCUGUCAACUGGUUCACUCUCACCUGUCACACUCAGACUGCUGUGGAGUGCUAGAUACAGUCAGACCGCUGCAGUGUGUGUGUGGGUGUGCACAUCGAAUGAGUAAUACAUGUAUUAAAUAAAAUGAAAGCAAAUAAUAAAAUCAUUGCUUUAAUUAAUACCUCAAUUCAGGUUCAUUAUAUUUAUUUUCAUUAGUUAUUUUCAUUAAAUUUUAGUUUCAUUAAAUAAUUAAAGAGAAAUAAAAUCUAACAUUUUUAGUUUCACAGAG
Molecule: long non-coding RNA, 785 nt
Organism: Cyprinus carpio carpio
Lineage: Eukaryota; Metazoa; Chordata; Actinopteri; Cypriniformes; Cyprinidae
Source: Ensembl